Pezoporus flaviventris is the source of this 452-nucleotide long non-coding RNA. RefSeq lists it as uncharacterized. NCBI's taxonomy places the organism in Eukaryota, Metazoa, Chordata, Aves, Psittaciformes, Psittacidae. The transcript is spliced from 2 exons. The record is from RefSeq and is a predicted model, not a curated record.
CAAAGUCAGCCGAGGCGUCUUGCAAACUGGGAUGUGCAAACUGUUGUGAUCAGCACAGAAACAGCAACAGGAGGGCCACAAUCUCUCCCCAGAGCCUUUCCAGCAAGGCAACACCCAGCAGGCUGGCCAGCACGCCGUCACCCCAACAACCAAAGAGCCCCAGGACCAGCAGCAAGAUGCCAACGUGAACCCUGGCCCCAAAGCCAGGCAGUCAGGAGAGCUCUAGCAGGUGCCAGUGCAAGGGGAAAAGCAGAGACGUGCUCUGACCUGCCCGGUGCAGGCCAUGGACUGGGGCACACCUCACACACCAGCUUCCAGCCUGCCCUGGGCAAUGGGCACUCAGGAGAUGCCCUGGAGUCCAGCCCUUGCCACCGGGGUCUGCACCAGUGCCUCAUGCAAAACCUGCCUUUGCUUUCCUAGUGAUGCUUAUAACCUGCUCCUUACUUCUGCAG